UGUGACGACGUUGUUAAUAUUGUUCAUUAAACGCAUGGAGUCUUAAAUAGUAAUAAGUGGAAGCAGACGAUUCCAAUGUGUGAAUCUCUACGAUACUAUGCAGUUGUAUUAUUUUGUGUCUCUCUUGUCACAAUAAACAUUUGCUUCAAAUCAUGUUUAGUUACUAGAGUGUAUGUGACUGCUUUAAUUUAGAUCGAGUUUCACCACUAAAGGGUGCUUUGCUUCAGAGUGAGCUUCCAUGCAGUCUCUAGGACAAUACUU
Molecule: long non-coding RNA, 261 nt
Filed under: Medicago truncatula (barrel medic)
Lineage: Eukaryota; Viridiplantae; Streptophyta; Magnoliopsida; Fabales; Fabaceae
Description: lncRNA gene41572
Source: RNAcentral